Molecule: ribosomal RNA, 412 nt
Filed under: uncultured rumen methanogen
Lineage: Archaea
Description: bacterial SSU rRNA
Rfam family: Archaeal small subunit ribosomal RNA
Source: RNAcentral
GGGGCUGCGUUUAAUUGGACUCACCCGGGCACUCCCGGAUAGGACAGGGAAUGAUAGCCGGGCUGAAGCCUUGCUUGACCAGCUGAGAGGAGGGGCAUGGCCGUCGUCAGUUCGUACUGUGAAGCAUCCUGUUUAGUCAGGCAACGAGCGAGACCCACGCCAACAGUUGCUAGCAUGUUCUCCGGAAUGAUGAGGACACUGUUGGGACCGCCUCUCUAAAGAGGAGGAAGGAAUGGGCAACGGUAGGUCAGCAUGCCCCGAAUAUCCGGGCUACACGCGGGCUACAAUGGUCAGGACAAUGGAAGGGCACUGAAAAGGUAGCAAUCCCUAACCUGUCCAAGUCGGAUUUGGGGGAAAACUCGCCCACACCCCGCAGAAAAACACAUAGUAGGAAGUGGCGGGGAGCCCCCAG